Long non-coding RNA from Rhodamnia argentea, 107 nucleotides. RefSeq lists it as uncharacterized. The transcript is spliced from 3 exons. Lineage: Eukaryota; Viridiplantae; Streptophyta; Magnoliopsida; Myrtales; Myrtaceae. The record is from RefSeq and is a predicted model, not a curated record.
AUGAGGCGAGUGAACGCGUUUUGAGUGAUUGUCGAAAGAAGUGAGAAUAGAUCGGAGUGUAAGGAUGGAAAUUGAGUGAAUAAGGUAAAUGUAAGAUAUGUUACGAG